Molecule: non-coding RNA, 1562 nt
Organism: Callithrix jacchus (white-tufted-ear marmoset)
Lineage: Eukaryota; Metazoa; Chordata; Mammalia; Primates; Cebidae
Source: RefSeq, a predicted model, not a curated record
AUGGUAUCUAUGUAUGUUAUAGGUUCUUGUGAGGAUGAAAUGAAAAGCAUACUUAAUUUCUACUUGGAUAACAGAGAAAAAAAGAAAGCAAGGAAACUAGUGAGAAAAUGAAUGCUAAGAACAAGGAAUCAUUACUUGAGGAAAGUGUCUAUGGAACAUCUGUCAUUGUACCAGAACUGGAAGGAGCUCUUUAUUUGAAAGAAGAUGGAAAGAAAUCCUGGAAAAGGCGCUAUUUUCUUUUACGGGCUUCUGGAAUUUAUUAUGUACCCAAAGGAAAGACUAAGACAUCUCGAGAUCUGGCGUGUUUUAUACAGUUUGAAAAUGUCAACAUUUACUACGGGACUCAGCAUAAAAUGAAAUAUAAAGCACCCACUGGCUACUGCUUUGUUUUAAAGCACCCCCAAAUUCAGAAGGAGUCCCAGUAUAUCAAGUAUCUCUGCUCUGAUGAUGCAAGAACCCUUAACCAGUGGGUCAUGGGAAUACGGAUAGCCAAGUAUGGGAAGACUCUCUAUGAUAACUACCAGCGGGCCAUGGCAAAGGCUGGACUUGCCUCUCGGUGGACAAACGUGGGGACAGUCAGUGCAGCUGCACCGGCUCAGCCAGCUCAGCCAUCUACAGGACCUAAAACAGGCACCUCCCAGCCCAAUGGACAGAUGCCCCAGGCUGCACAUUCUGUCAGUGCUGUUCUCCAAGAGGCCCAGACACGUGCUGAAACAUGGAAGGAUAAGAAACCAGCCCUCGGGAACCACCACCAGCCCGGAAUGCCUCGGGCCCCACAGGCCCCCAAGUCCAGCCUUCCUCUCCCCCUGCAGUGCGGCGGUCCUCCGGAUACCAGCAGCAGCCCCGCCACGACCCCCAAGGCCAAGGGUACUGGAGGCAGGGGCUUCCUCGCCCCGCCCGUCGACUUCCUUCCACCGCCGCCACCCAUGGACCACCCCGAGCUCCCACCGCCACCCCCCGGACUUCAUGGAGCCGCCCCCGGACUUCGUGCCCCCGCUCCCGCCGACCUGUGCUGGAACCGAAGGCUCAGAGCUGCCCCCGCCGCCGCCGCCGCCGCCGCUGCCGCAGCCGCCGCACGCGCUCGACCCCAAUUCCGCCAGGCUGCCCUCCGCGGUCGCCAAAAGGCCUCCUAUGCCCCCCAAGAGGCACGAGAACCCAGCGCCCCCCGGCGGGGCAGGUGGCGGGGAGCAAGAUUUCAUGUCAGACCUCAUGAAAGCGUUGCAAAAGAACAGAGGCAACGUGUCCUAGGGACGGGCACAGUGAGUGUGCCAGAGGGAGACGCAUCGCUGACUCCCAGUGCAGGUUUUGCUAGGAGAUGUCCCUCACAUCUUGUUCAUUUCAGAUAAAAUGUGAUGGGAAACUUCUCCCUGUCGUGGUCAAGUACAGCCUUAACCAUUAACCCAAUCGAAUUCAGAGUAUCUGCCCAAAUGUACAUAUCGCUCCUAUGUAUUUUCACCUAAAUGGAAUGUAUCUUCCCUUCCAAGUGCCUAAAGUGCUGUUUUAGGUUCAUUUAUUUUAUUAUGUGCAGAAGUAUGAAAUGAAUAAAAGUUAAACAUUUUUCC